AGGAUGAACGCUGGCGGUCUGCUUAACACAUGCAAGUCGAACGGGCGUAGCAAUACGUUAGUGGCGGACGGGUGAGUAACGCGUGAGAAUCUACCUUCAGGACGGAGACAACAGUUGGAAACGACUGAUAACCCCCGAUGUACUGAAAAGGCAAAUAUUUAUAGCCUGAAGAAGAGCUCGCGUCCGAUUAGCUAGUUGGAGAGGUAAAAGCUCACCAAGGCGACGAUCGGUAGCUGGUCUGAGAGGACGAUCAGCCACACUGGGACUGAGACACGGCCCAGACUCCUACGGGAGGCAGCAGUGGGAAUUUUCGGCAAUGGGGGAAACCCUGACCGAGCAACGCCGCGUGCAGGAAGACGGCCUUCGGGUUGUAAACUGCUUUUCUUUGGUACGAGCAAGGACGGUACCAGAGGAUCAGCCCGGCUCACUACGUGCCAGCAGCCGC
Molecule: ribosomal RNA, 445 nt
Filed under: uncultured bacterium
Lineage: Bacteria
Description: SSU rRNA
Rfam family: Bacterial small subunit ribosomal RNA
Source: RNAcentral